This 201-nucleotide ribosomal RNA is filed under the name uncultured bacterium. Its description in RNAcentral is "partial 16S ribosomal RNA". It matches the Rfam family "Bacterial small subunit ribosomal RNA", at positions 1300 to 1500 of the family's 1533-position model. The record is from RNAcentral.
GUAGUCUGCAACCCGACUACAUGAAGCUGGAAUCGCUAGUAAUCGCGGAUCAGAAUGCCGCGGUGAAUACGUUCCCGGGUCUUGUACACACCGCCCGUCACACCAUGGGAGUCGGAAAUGCCCGAAGUCUGUGACCCAACCGAAAGGAGGGAGCAGCCGAAGGCAGGUCGGAUGACUGGGGUGAAGUCGUAACAAGGUACC